This 72-nucleotide transfer RNA is filed under the name Marmota monax (woodchuck). Its description in RNAcentral is "tRNA.Ala". The record is from RNAcentral. Lineage: Eukaryota; Metazoa; Chordata; Mammalia; Rodentia; Sciuridae.
UGGGAUGUAGCUCAGUGGUAGAGUGCUUGUUGAGCAUGCAUGAAACCCUAAGUUUGAUCCUCAGCACUUAAA